Molecule: ribosomal RNA, 2420 nt
Filed under: Salmonella enterica subsp. enterica serovar Amager
Lineage: Bacteria; Pseudomonadati; Pseudomonadota; Gammaproteobacteria; Enterobacterales; Enterobacteriaceae
Description: bacterial LSU rRNA
Rfam family: Bacterial large subunit ribosomal RNA
Source: RNAcentral
CGGCGAGGGGAGUGAAAAAGAACCUGAAACCGUGUACGUACAAGCAGUGGGAGCACCCUUUGGGGUGUGACUGCGUACCUUUUGUAUAAUGGGUCAGCGACUUAUAUUCUGUAGCAAGGUUAACCGCAUAGGGGAGCCGGAGGGAAACCGAGUCUUAAUUGGGCGUUAAGUUGCAGGGUAUAGACCCGAAACCCGGUGAUCUAGCCAUGGGCAGGUUGAAGGUUGGGUAACACUAACUGGAGGACCGAACCGACUAAUGUUGAAAAAUUAGCGGAUGACCUGUGGCUGGGGGUGAAAGGCCAAUCAAACCGGGAGAUAGCUGGUUCUCCCCGAAAGCUAUUUAGGUAGCGCCUCGUGAAUUCAUCUCCGGGGGUAGAGCACUGUUUCGGCUAGGGGGCCAUCCCGGCUUACCAACCCGAUGCAAACUGCGAAUACCGGAGAAUGUUAUCACGGGAGACACACGGCGGGUGCUAACGUCCGUCGUGAAGAGGGAAACAACCCAGACCGCCAGCUAAGGUCCCAAAGUCAUGGUUAAGUGGGAAACGAUGUGGGAAGGCCCAGACAGCCAGGAUGUUGGCUUAGAAGCAGCCAUCAUUUAAAGAAAGCGUAAUAGCUCACUGGUCGAGUCGGCCUGCGCGGAAGAUGUAACGGGGCUAAACCAUGCACCGAAGCUGCGGCAGCGACGCUUAUGCGUUGUUGGGUAGGGGAGCGUUCUGUAAGCCUGUGAAGGUGUGUCGUGAGGCAUGCUGGAGGUAUCAGAAGUGCGAAUGCUGACAUAAGUAACGAUAAAGCGGGUGAAAAGCCCGCUCGCCGGAAGACCAAGGGUUCCUGUCCAACGUUAAUCGGGGCAGGGUGAGUCGACCCCUAAGGCGAGGCCGAAAGGCGUAGUCGAUGGGAAACGGGUUAAUAUUCCCGUACUUGGUGUUACUGCGAAGGGGGGACGGAGAAGGCUAUGUUGGCCGGGCGACGGUUGUCCCGGUUUAAGCGUGUAGGUGUGUGUUCAAGGUAAAUCCGGUUCACUUUAACACUGAGGCGUGAUGACGAGGCACUACGGUGCUGAAGCAACAAAUGCCCUGCUUCCAGGAAAAGCCUCUAAGCAUCAGGUAACAUCAAAUCGUACCCCAAACCGACACAGGUGGUCAGGUAGAGAAUACCAAGGCGCUUGAGAGAACUCGGGUGAAGGAACUAGGCAAAAUGGUGCCGUAACUUCGGGAGAAGGCACGCUGACAUGUAGGUGAAGUGAUUUACUCAUGGAGCUGAAGUCAGUCGAAGAUACCAGCUGGCUGCAACUGUUUAUUAAAAACACAGCACUGUGCAAACACGAAAGUGGACGUAUACGGUGUGACGCCUGCCCGGUGCCGGAAGGUUAAUUGAUGGGGUCAGCGCAAGCGAAGCUCCUGAUCGAAGCCCCGGUAAACGGCGGCCGUAACUAUAACGGUCCUAAGGUAGCGAAAUUCCUUGUCGGGUAAGUUCCGACCUGCACGAAUGGCGUAAUGAUGGCCAGGCUGUCUCCACCCGAGACUCAGUGAAAUUGAACUCGCUGUGAAGAUGCAGUGUACCCGCGGCAAGACGGAAAGACCCCGUGAACCUUUACUAUAGCUUGACACUGAACAUUGAGCCUUGAUGUGUAGGAUAGGUGGGAGGCUUUGAAGUGUGGACGCCAGUCUGCAUGGAGCCGACCUUGAAAUACCACCCUUUAAUGUUUGAUGUUCUAACGUGGACCCGUAAUCCGGGUUGCGGACAGUGUCUGGUGGGUAGUUUGACUGGGGCGGUCUCCUCCUAAAGAGUAACGGAGGAGCACGAAGGUUGGCUAAUCCUGGUCGGACAUCAGGAGGUUAGUGCAAUGGCAUAAGCCAGCUUGACUGCGAGCGUGACGGCGCGAGCAGGUGCGAAAGCAGGUCAUAGUGAUCCGGUGGUUCUGAAUGGAAGGGCCAUCGCUCAACGGAUAAAAGGUACUCCGGGGAUAACAGGCUGAUACCGCCCAAGAGUUCAUAUCGACGGCGGUGUUUGGCACCUCGAUGUCGGCUCAUCACAUCCUGGGGCUGAAGUAGGUCCCAAGGGUAUGGCUGUUCGCCAUUUAAAGUGGUACGCGAGCUGGGUUUAGAACGUCGUGAGACAGUUCGGUCCCUAUCUGCCGUGGGCGCUGGAGAACUGAGGGGGGCUGCUCCUAGUACGAGAGGACCGGAGUGGACGCAUCACUGGUGUUCGGGUUGUCAUGCCAAUGGCACUGCCCGGUAGCUAAAUGCGGAAGAGAUAAGUGCUGAAAGCAUCUAAGCACGAAACUUGCCCCGAGAUGAGUUCUCCCUGAGACUUUAGGUCUCCUGAAGGAACGUUGAAGACGACGACGUUGAUAGGCCGGGUGUGUAAGCGCAGCGAUGCGUUGAGCUAACCGGUACUAAUGAACCGUGAGGCUUAACCUU